This is a long non-coding RNA of Planococcus citri (citrus mealybug), 1060 nucleotides long. RefSeq lists it as uncharacterized. The transcript has 3 exons. Lineage: Eukaryota; Metazoa; Arthropoda; Insecta; Hemiptera; Pseudococcidae. The record is from RefSeq and is a predicted model, not a curated record.
AUCAGUUUUACUUUUCAUAGUUUCAAUAUUGCAAGAAUACGAAUACGUACGUAUCGGAGUACAUAUUAACCAAUAAUCAUCGCUGAGUAUCUAUUUUAGAGCGUAGCGAUAGGAAAAUAAUCAUUAAAAAAUAUGGCCAGUAAGAUAGGAAAAAAAAUCAAUGAAUACCAAAGAAGUUAAUCGAACAUUCCAUUCUUCAAAUUCACUUUCUACGUAUAGCAACUUUAGAUGUGUACGUUGUGUGUUUCUUGUUACGUCGCACUGUGACCGAAAGUGCAGAUUUUUUGCACUUUUCUUCGGGCGAAAACACCCCACUUUCAGACCAACUAAAGCACAGUGCAGGCUAUUUUGCUGAUUAUGUAAACAAGAGUUACUCCCUUGAAUAGUGAAGACCUUCCCAAAUAGCCAACGAAUAUCUAAAGUUAUUCAAAAUAGAUUGUUCAGAUGCAACUAGCCAUAAAUUGCUUGAAGACAACUAUAGAUAUCGCGCAGUAAAUCAAAUCAAAGAUAGACAAAUCACGAAUACAGAAAAUUUGCUUUUAAGGUCAAUAGAAUUAUCAUCAAAAUUUAGGUAGAUCACUGGAUGCUCCAUCCAGGUCUACGAUAUCCUCUCCAGAAGGCGUUUGAAGAAAUAAGGAAAAAUCAGGAAUGAAACCGUCGCAUUGUAUAAUAUUCUUCGAGACUGUCAGUCUGUCUCGCAAAUAUUAGACAUAUUGACACGGACGGCAUUCUACAAUUUGACCCAUUUGUAAUCUAAAGAUGAAGAACCUUGGAUAAUCGAUAUCAAGCAGGCUUAAGUACAACAAGUACAAGUCAAACCACCUCGGAAUCCUGAACGAAUUGUGCCAAAAUGAAAAUAAAAAAUUCAAAAAAUCUACAGUGGAAAAAAAAUUAAAAAGUAAUUGUGCGCCCAAAGUUUAUUAUUAUUAAUACCUAUACGAAAACGAUGUUGAUGAAUAUGAAGAUGCAAAUUUUCGAAGGAACUGUCCCGAUUCGAUUAGUUAUUGUGAUUUUUGUUAUAGAAUUUUAUAAAAUUGAUGAAAUAUAUAAUUUAAUAAGA